UACGUAGGGUGCGAGCGUUAAUCGGAAUUACUGGGCGUAAAGCGUGCGCAGGCGGUUCGCUAAGUCCGCUGUGAAAGUCGGGGGCUCAACCCUCGAAUGCCGGUGGAUACUGUCGGGCUAGAGUGCGGAAGAGGCGAGUGGAAUUCCUGGUGUAGCGGUGAAAUGCGCAGAUAUCAGGAGGAACACCUAUUGCGAAGGCAGCUCGCUGGGACGUAACUGACGCUGAGACGCGAAAGCGUGGGGAGCAAACAGG
Molecule: ribosomal RNA, 253 nt
Filed under: uncultured bacterium
Lineage: Bacteria
Description: partial 16S ribosomal RNA
Rfam family: Bacterial small subunit ribosomal RNA
Source: RNAcentral